GUAGAAUGGACAAAUAGGUUCCCGGGAUGGUAUACGAUUAGAGGAUCACGUAGACGUUGAUAAGUAAAGGAUAAAUGAGAAAGUGAUUGAGUCUUGGUUUUAAGAUGGGUGCUAACAGGGGGUCCAGUUGUUUGAGAAACGUAACCCUAGGUAAGGCACAGUGGUGAUUGGCUGCGAGAACAGAUUUAGUUCCUUCCUUGUGUGGUUGCGUUGACUGUAGAUCCGAGUAAAUAAUUUGGUAGCUAUUAGCGGGACACAACAAGGAGCUGUCUGAAUCACACUGGGUUGUUUGAGAAACGUAACCCUAGAUAAGGCACAGUGGUGAUUGGUUGCGAGAACAGAUUUAGUUCAUUCCUUGUGUGGUUGCGUCGACUGUAGAUCCGAGUAAAUAAUUUGGUAGCUAUUAGCGGGACACAACAAGGAGCUGUCUGAAUCACACUGGGUUGCCUUACGCUGGAGGUUAAGGGUAAGAACGGAUCUGUGGAUAAGAUCCGAGAUUUCACUUAGGUUAAAGAAUAGUAAUGAAAUAAUGGAUUGUUCUCUUUUGAUGUCAUUCUUAUUGCAUUUCAAUUAUAUAUCUUGUUGCUUGUAAGUUAUGGGUUCGGGUAGGUUUUGGCUACUGAGCGUCAUCGCUUAUGGUACUAUGUUGCCCUGGUAACUCGAACGCCAGGUAUUGAAGACAGAACAGAAGGGCCGUAGGCAAAGAAUGAUUUGAUGAUGACCAAUGAAGAGAUUGUCGACUUUGAAUUCCGUCCUUAGUUGCUCUAACUAAUUUAAAUCGACCUUAUUUUGAGAGCUUUCUGGUUUAUUGGAAAU
Molecule: long non-coding RNA, 816 nt
Organism: Rhododendron vialii
Lineage: Eukaryota; Viridiplantae; Streptophyta; Magnoliopsida; Ericales; Ericaceae
Exons: 3
Source: RefSeq, a predicted model, not a curated record